This 229-nucleotide ribosomal RNA is filed under the name uncultured bacterium. RNAcentral describes it as "partial 16S ribosomal RNA". It matches the Rfam family "Bacterial small subunit ribosomal RNA", at positions 568 to 796 of the family's 1533-position model. The record is from RNAcentral.
UGCGUAGGCGGCUUUAUAAGUCAGAGGUGAAAGCUUACAGCUUAACUGUGAAACUGCCUUUGAAACUGUAAAGCUUGAAUCACGUUGAGGUCAGCGGAAUGUGGCAUGUAGCGGUGAAAUGCAUAGAUAUGCCAUAGAACACCAAUUGCGAAGGCAGCUGGCUAGGCGUGUAUUGACGCUGAGGCACGAAAGCGUGGGGAGCGAACAGGAUUAGAUACCCUGGUAGUCC